CCUACGGGAGGCUGCAGUGAGGAAUAUUGGUCAAUGGGCGAGAGCCUGAACCAGCCAAGUCGCGUGAGGGAGUACUGCCCUAUGGGUUGUAAACCUCUUUUGUCGGGGAGCAAAAGCCGGACGUGUCCGGCUGUGAGAGUACCCGAAGAAAAAGCAUCGGCUAACUCCGUGCCAGCAGCCGCGGUAAUACGGAGGAUGCGAGCGUUAUCCGGAUUUAUUGGGUUUAAAGGGUGCGCAGGCGGAUUUUUAAGUCAGCGGUAAAAUCGUGGGGCUCAACCCCAUCCAGCCGUUGAAACUGGGGAUCUAGAGUGUGCGAGAGGUAUGCGGAAUGCGUGGUGUAUCGGUGAAAUGCAUAGAUAUCACGCAGAACCCCGAUUGCGAAGGCAGCAUACCGGUGCACAACUGACGCUCAGGCACGAAAGCGUGGGUAUCGAACAGGAUUAGAUACCCUGGUAGUC
This 458-nucleotide ribosomal RNA is filed under the name uncultured bacterium. RNAcentral describes it as "partial 16S ribosomal RNA". It matches the Rfam family "Bacterial small subunit ribosomal RNA", at positions 338 to 795 of the family's 1533-position model. The record is from RNAcentral.